UACGGGGGAUGCAAGCGUUAUCCGGAUUUAUUGGGCGUAAAGCGCCUGUAGGUUGUUUAAUAAGUCUGUUGUUAAAGACUAGGGCUCAACCCUGGGAAAGCAAUGGAAACUGAUAAACUUGAGUAUGGCAGGGGUAGAGGGAAUUUCUAGUGUAGCGGUGAAAUGCGUAGAUAUUAGAAAGAACACCGGUGGCGAAAGCGCUCUACUGGACCAUUACUGACACUCAGAGGCGAAAGCUAGGGGAGCGAAAGGGAUUAGAUACCCCGUAGUCCUAGCCGUAAACGAUGGAUACUAGAUGUUGUGUUAUUUAUACAGUAUCGUAGCUAACGCGUUAAGUAUCCCGCCUGGGGAGUACGCUCGCAAGGGUG
This 368-nucleotide ribosomal RNA is filed under the name uncultured phototrophic eukaryote. RNAcentral's name for it is "SSU rRNA". It matches the Rfam family "Bacterial small subunit ribosomal RNA", at positions 524 to 896 of the family's 1533-position model. The record is from RNAcentral.